AUUCAUCACUUUGGGACAAUGUAGGCACAGAGUUUGUGGUGAUUGGGAUGGGGCUGUGGGAGCCUCAUCCCCAUGGGCACAGCUGUGAGCAGCAGGUGAGCAGCACUGACACAAUGAGCCAUGGAGUGCCCAGGGGCACUGAGCAACCACCAAAGGGAGCAGAGGGCACACAGGUGCCGUGCAUCAACGUGAGGGGAUAAAAGGUUGGGCUAAGGAAGAAGGGCAGAUGCCUGCAUUGCAGCCUUCUGAGGUGAUCUGAUGUUACUCUGCAUGGGCAGAUGCCUGAUGCCUUCUGAAGUGGUCUGGCUCUAACCCAACCUGAACAUCCCCUAGGCCUCAGGAAUGACAUUUAAUUUUGAAAGCAUUUUUCCAGGCUUGGCAAGGAGAAAAUGAGUGUUUUCCUCUGGAAAUGUCUUCACUGGUCAUUGAAUGCCUUUCCUGUUCACUUUUGAAAGAACACAAUUAAAUAUCUGAUUAGAUCUGUCAGCACACUCAGGAGAGCAGGAAGUCAUGGUUGGGCAGAAAUACCUUUCUACAGCAGCAAGGACUCAUUUACUCCAGGGAUCCAUCAGCCACACAGUGCUGCUAUAACAAUGAACCCAAACAAAUGUUGAAUGAUAUUUUAAAUAUGCUUUAAUUGAUGAUAUUUUACUUUUCCUCAAAAGGAAAAAAGUAAUGUUUGCCAGCUGGGAUGGUUGGGAUGCUUUCCUCUGUCUGUGGGGUUGGCUUCAGUUAGAGCUGCUCAAGGAACAGUUUGCUGGCCUGGACAAAUGCUCACUCCUGGCUUUUCCCUGCCUCCCGCCCAGCUGAGGCCUCAGCACACCCUGAAAUGGUGGUGAUGGACACCCAAGGGCUGUGCCAUGGGACCCUGUGUGCUGCACAGUCCCUCAGCCCAGUGCCAGGACUUGGGAUGGAGCUGAAAGGAGUGGGCUGGUUCUGGCUGGCUCCCUUGGCUUCCACACCAGUCACUUUGUCCCAUCCCUUCCUCCCCAGGCCAACAACAACAACCAGAAUUCAACCAUGUUAAAAUGAUAUUGACCUGUUGGAGCAAGUCCAGAGAAGGCCACCAAGUUGCUUAGAGGGAAGGAGCAUCUCUGCUAACAGGAGAGGUUGAGAGAACUGGGAUUGCUCUUCUCUCAGGGGAAAAGAAGGCUUUGGGUGAUCUGAUUGUGGCCUUAUGGAUCUAGAGCCUUUCUUUCACAUUAUUUUUAUGUUUCUGAUAUCAAAGACAAACUGUGUGUUGUGAGCAACAAGCUUGUUGUGCUUGAGUAAAUGAAGCAUAGUGAAUUUUCAUAAGAGUUAGUUAUUUUAGAGAGAUAAAUGUGCACCAUCAUCAGCUUUAGAUAGUUCAAGAGAUAAAACAAUUAGCACAAUGCCUUAUGAGGUGAAUUAAUGUACCCAUCAGAAUUUUUUUGGCUUUAUUAUAAUGUGUGGGCAGAUUUUCAGGACUUUGAUGAUAUCUAGAUCUAUUAAUCAAACCCAAAUUCACUCAAGGUGAGAAGAAGGGGAAAAAUAAAAGCCAUUUCUGAUUUGAUAUUAAUCACAAGUUCAAUGCUAAGGUCUGGUAAUCAUUUGAGUAGGCCCUCCUUUUGCUAGCUAGUCAGGAGACAUUGAAUUUUAUUAAAUGGGAUUACUGGGUCAUGGUAUUCACUGUAUUGUGAAUAGCACUUGAUCAAGGAGAGUACAGUGAAAUAACCUUCAGACAAGGUCGUCGACUCACAAAGAUAUCUUAAAUCAAAAGCACUUUACUAUGAAGGCAAUCCAGCAAACUUCAGGAAAAAUUUCCUUUGUUUGUAAAAGAAAGAUACUUAACUGCAGCCUCACAGAUCAAGUUCAGAACUCCAUUUUGUGUACAUCAAAUAGCUGCUCCACGUGCGCUCAAUGCAGUGAACAGUCUGGGGAUGGACUCUGUCUGCAAGCCUGAAUAGACAGCCAGCUUUAAUGGCCGACUCCCAAUGGAGUUUUUUCUGAGGAAAGCACAGGUUGUAUUUCCUGCCAUCUCUGCCAAACCUGGGGCUGUCACUCCCUGCUCUGCAGACCACCAUUGUACCUAAAGAAAGCAGGUAAAGGGAUGAAUAACCCAUUGCAAAAAGAGUAGUAUACCUUUCUCUCCCUAAAGGGUAUGCUCUGUUAGACUGAACCACCUCAUCUUCAGGAAACACUGGUGACAAUCAGUGGGUGAUUUCACGAGUAUUAAGGAGAGGCUAAGUUGAAAGACAUUUGCUAUGAGAUCACAGACUCAGUUACGGGUGGUAGAGUGCCCCUGUGGCUGUCACAUAACCCAAGCCACCCCCUAACCCAAGUGUAUCCAGGUUCCUGAAUAUUCCUAAGGAGACUGCCCAGUGCUGGCUCUCCAUUUCCAUCUAGCAAACAGCUUGAACACAGUUUGUAAAACAUGAAAGCAAUUUCUGUUGCCUCCUCCAACACUGUGUAGCAGCUGUUUGUGACACAGCUGGGUACCAGGGCUGGGCCUGGCUUCUGCAAAUGGGGGGUGGCACUACCUGAGAGCAGGGCAGGGCUGCAUCGUGUCAACUGAAAUCCUGCAGACCAUGUGAGAACACUGACCAUUUCUCAGUUCAAGACAUCUGGUGUCAGAUGAAGCCAUAAAGGUGAAUAUUUUUGACACACUGCUGAUCUGAGGCUGAAGUGCUCAGGACAGGCAAAAUUUUCAUUGCCCAAUGUAUUACCUCAGGCAACAAUCAAACUUUGCUAUGGCUGCAUUUUGAGGGCAGUGCAAAGUGGAUUGCUACAGAGGUGGUGCUGCUGGAGGGGAGGCUGUGCCACAAAGAAAAUUGCAACGUGGAUCAUGAGAAAAGAUUAGGCAAUGCAAUUGAUCAUCUUCCGACAGUUGCAUGCAGCAGGGUAUGGCUGCCUAUUGGAUGUCAGUGGUUGGGGCAGAAUGUCAAAUGAGUGCAUUUCAGCCAUGUGUGUCACUGAUGAACACAGAAACCAAAAGUUCACAAGAUGUUCUGAGUAUGUACAAGAAGAAAUAAUUUGAAAAGGAAUAAAAUGAGGUGAGGAGCAGGGGAAAUACAUUAGGAAAUGUUAAAGAUCUUUUGCAAAGGCCCAUUAACAGUUCUGCUCAGGCACAACAGAGAAGAGAGUGAAGUGUGUGUCAGGAAGAUUGAAAUGAGUCACUCAGAUAAAACACUGCUGUGACCUAAAGCCCCAUUUGGUUACUUUUAAUGGCAAAAUACUUGGAGCAAUUUAUUUUUCCUCUCUAAGGUAGUUUAGUGCAACAUGGAAAUUGAUAAGGAUGAUGCUGAAUGGUUUUAUCACAGUAGAAAAGGGAAAAAUUUCAUUAAUACAGUUAUUGUAUGGGUGUAAAGUGGAGCUGUUUUUUUUUUUUUGUAAGAUCCUAUGAAGUCAUCCAAGGCUUCUUGGAUGACUUCAUAGUCAUCCAAGUAUGGAUGACUAUGGAAAGUAAAAGUAAAAGUUUGGAAAGUAAAAGUAAAAGUUUGGAAAGUAAAGAAAACAAAGCAAAACCUUAACCAAACAAAGCAUUCAGGUGGAGUGAAUGUUCAAUGUCCCUGAACUGGUCACAUUUAACUUCAAACAUCUUGUCAUCAUCUUAAAGAACAGUAUCAAGACAUCUAUUUCAAUCUGUCACUUUUUACUUUUCCUCCAUGCAGCCUCAGGGCAAACCCUGAGAAAAAUGCAUAACACACAAGGAUGCUGGGGUCUCAAAGCUGUGCAAUUGCAGCUUUGCUUAUUCGUGCAAAGAUCUGGGAGCUGAGAAGGAAACCCUUUUGUAAGUGGAAGCCAAAAUGUCAAACACAGCUGGUCCUUGUCUCUUUUUAGAGUGCAGUAUGAGCCUCAGUUUGGCACGAUUGUAGUUAUUUCAUUAGCAACUCAGAAGGUGAAAUUGCUCUUUCAAAGGUAAGCUGUUAAAAUGAAAACAUUUCAGUUCACUGCAGCCUGGAAGGCAUUACAGCAAUAGUGAAGCUCUCUGUGUGACAACCUUCCUCCUCCACUGUGCCUUGGAAAGUCUGAAACCAAUCCUGUGAAGAAUAGUCACCUAACCUGAUUAUAAAAUCCAUUGCAGGGAAAUGCUAAUGGCUGGUAAUGUGGAGGAACAAAAAGAGAAAAGGCCAAUUCAUUUCUAUGAGACACAGCAAUGGAUCAUGGUGUGACACACUAUUGGGACUGCAGAGGAAUGAGCUCCUCUUAGUGCUCGUGGAUUCAGUGAUUAUUUAUGACUGCUAACAUCCAUCACCCAAAGGGCAGGGUAGUGGUGCUGGUGCUGCAUCAUUUCUGUCCCCUUUGGAAAUACACAGGAGCGAGUGAAGGGGUGUCUGCGAGCAGAUUCACACACUGGUUCUUUGGACAGACUCUUCUACCAUGGCCUGGAAAAGUAUUGAGUAAGAAAAUUAUUGCUCAUGGCUUUAAAUUUUUAGAGGGAGAGCUGUGAUAUGUGAGAAACAGGUCCUUGGCUCUACAGCGUACACUGGGAAAUUCUGACAUCAAGAGAAUAAUGCUCUGCAUAACCCACAUUUCUUCCCCUCUGUGUCACCUGGCCCCUUUUCCAAAGCACAUGCACAUAGAAGGACCAUGCCAGGGCUGGCAAAGGACAGACUAAGAGAGGUAAAUCUUCAGGAAAGAGAUGGGAUUUGGCCCAGAAGUUAGUUGCUCAGGAUCACUACCCAAUUGCUCUGUGACACCUUCAGGUUAGGAUACAGGAGGCAAAAGCAAAACCAAACCAGCUUUUUUCACUUUUAAACUUUAAUUGAAAGCAUCAUUUAUAAAUGCAUGGCUGUAGAUUUGGGGUGGAGGCCACAGCAUGUGUAAUUUUAGGGAAGUCAGAGAAGUGAGUUUACCGUGGCCAAAGAUUUAGGUCUUAGUAAUGGAUGUUGAAAAUUGAAAGGAAAACAACCAGUUUAAAAAAUAACCCUGCAUCAACACUGCUAAAUUAAAAGACUUAUUAGUAGCAUUGAAAUAACUUCAUAACCACUUACAUCAAGUUAAAACAACUUCCCUCUUUGACAGCAGCCGAUUUCUGCCCUUUCUGGUGAGGCUGCUCUUGCUGUGUGCUCCCUGUCACUUGGGACUAGGAUACAGCGAGUGGAAAGAUGAUGGCUUGGCAAAAAUGACUCAGUUUUCAUUUGUAAACUGACAAUUGUGUACUGGAAAACAUGAAGAGCAAACCGAGUUUGAUUUGUAAACAGUGGGAAACCUCAGCAAUAUCUGCUGUAACUGUUAUGUAACGCCUGAGUGAGGCACUGAUUUCUGGGUGACGCCUGUGAUACCAUAACAAACACUGAAAAACAGAAAGUCAAAGAGAAAAAGCAAUGUGAAUAAGAUGAAAAACAAGUAAAACCAUAAAGAAGCCUAGAGUAUUCAGAGGCUACUCUAGCAAAUUACUGAAGAGAUUAUUAGUAGGUAUUGAACCCAAAAAACAUAAGAACCAAGCAUCAUGUAUCAAGAAAGACAAUUCCCCAUGGUCCUUGAUAUGAAUUAUUUUGUGUGAGGCUUUGGUCCGCUCUUAGGCACGAGCCAGCUGUUAGGCCAGAGCAGAGCCUGUCUCUGUGCCCUGCCUGCCUCCCACAGGGCACAGGCACAGAGCAAUCCUGCACGGCUGCUCUGGCCUGUGUCUGCCUGGUCUUGUCACCCAACUGUUCUGUGCCCUCUCUGGUGUGCAACACAGCUGUCCCUGGGUUAGGUUAGGCUGCUUGGCUGUUAAACCAAGCAAAAAAGAAGCUUAACAAGAAGGGAAGGAACUGAACAUUUCUAUAUAAAACAGGGUUGGGAAAGCUUACAGCAAGGGUUACUUGGAUGAGCUCAGUCUUGGGUGAGCUUGAGCACCCAGCACCCACAAAGCUGCUGUUUCCCAGAUGGGAUAUUGCAAGUGCUCCCUCUUCAGUGUUCUCUUUUUCUUACAAUAAAAAUAAUAAAAGGGAUAAUACUGAACAGAGAUUUUUGUGGAGUGACCAUGAGCAAUCAGCAGUGAUAUGGUGCCUCUUUCAUUUCAGAACCUACUGGGUGAUCCAUCUUUGGCUUUGAUGUACAUGGUGUGUGUCACACCCCCUGCAGGGACAAGAUAUUCUCAUGUGCCACAGAGAUGAGAAGUUAAGUUGAAGGCUUCCUUUCAUAUUAUGGUUGGCAUUCUGUGUAGUUUUACCCUGUUUUAAUUUUUGCUCACAGGCUACAAUUAUCUGUACAGCUAAGGCUCCAAGAGUGGUAGAUCAACUAAAGGUAAAUCUGAAAUUAUUCCAGCAGGGGAGAUAAAAUGCCUAGAUCUGCACAAUAUUAUGGUGUUAGUCAAAACUAGCCAGUUUUUGAGGCAUGUGCAAUAAGUGGCCUUCUCUGUUAUGUCUCUAAAAUAGAAUGGGGCUCUAUUUCUGUCCUGCCAGGCUAAAAAAAAAAUAUUAGAGUUUAAGUAAAGCAGAAAUGAAUUGCUGCUGAGCUGCUGCAUUGCAAAUGAGUCUAUGGUUCAGUAAGUCCAUGGUGAAGUUGUUGCACAGUGUUAACACCGUGUAAAAAGUAAAACAAGAGAGGUAUAAUGAAAACCUCCCAGCUUUUAUUUUCUUUGAAAAUAAUUUUGAAUUUAGGGCCUAACCUUUAUCUUUUGAAUAUGACUACAACCAGGGUUGAAAUUUUGGGGUUGUUUAAUAUAGGUACAGUAAAAUAAUAAUGGAAGUAUGCAGACAGGAGCUCCAUCUGCCCAUACUAGUCCCUCUAGCCACACGGUUUCUCGGCUGUGAGAAGUAGUAAAUUGCAGCCAUUGUCAGGAAAGAUUUUUAUUGACAAUAGGGCCAGUUCCACACAUCUGAUCUGCUAGGGAAUGAGUACAUAUCCACACUGUUUUCUCUGAGUGAAGCUUUUGUACUGAGAAUAUUUCUGUGACAAAAAGAGACUCUUUGAUUUGACUUUUCUACCUCUUGCCAAUAAAAAAAAACCCUUUAGAAAAUCUUAGACUAUCUUUAACCCCAGUACUCCCUUAAGGACUUCCUGGAAUGACCUCUUUUAGAAAGCACCUCUGAAGCUGAUCAUGAGCUAGAAAUCAAACUACUUUUGAGUUUCAUUAUUUCUAUCUGAAUUACAACUCAUUGCAAUUUGCAGCAAUGAUUUACUCUAAUUAAGUACACUUUGAAUCAAAUACUGACUCACAACACAAGGUCCUUUCCAGAAAAAAAUAUUGACACCAAUUUCUCAAGUGUGAAAUUGUAGCAGACAGUAACAGAUUUUUAAAUUACUGUUCUUCUGUAAGGACCUGCACAUACAGACCAAGUGUUGAAAAUUCUUAUGUCUUUCUGAUUUGCUUGGCUCCCACUUGUCUUGAAUGAUCAAAAUAAUUUUUGUAUAUGAUCCAUCAUUGAUUCUGCAUACACCGUAACUGUGCUACAGUUUCCAUCGUUUCAUUCCUGAUUACUAUUACAAAUAAAAAUAAUAUAAAAAUAAUCAGUCUUGCAAUUAUGUUUAGUAGACAGAAAGGGCUAGUCGUGGCUAAAUUCUACUUUUUGUGGCUUUGGAAGUCAUUCCAAAUGUGGUGAUAGCCUUCCCAAGCUGAUGACUUUAAAACAAUAGUACUGUACUGCACACUGAGAGCCCCAUGCAAGCUUCCUCUGACUCAUGAUGUUCCCUCAAUACUUAGUGGAUGUUUUAUUCACAAAGAAAAGGAAGCACAGGAUUAAAAUUUAAGUAGAAACAAAUGAAUUUUGGUGCUGAUUUUAUGAUAUAGUCUCUGGGUAAAGGCAAAUCAUAAAAUUAUUUCUUUUACCACAUUGAUAUUGUUCUAGUUUGGGAUUUUUGAAUGCUGAUUAUGAUAACUGGCUGGUGUGGCCAUGAGCUAGACUGGGGUAGAUUUUCUCAUAAUACACACAUACUUCAGGGACCAUUGAUGCUCAAAGGUUGGUGCCAUGCUCACUAAACCAUAUUGUAGGUGCUCUGACCCACUCUGGUUUACAGCCAACCAAAAGCAAAAAGCUGGAAUUUGCAGGACCAGAGGGGAACAGAUGAGCAGGAGAGGAAUGGAAGGGGAGAGGGGAGCAUUGGCCCAGUUGUCUUGCUCCUGAUGACGCUGGUGUGCACGUUCCUGAGGUCAUGCUCAGGAUGGGAGGUGCUGCUUCAUCCCUCAUCCUGUUGGGCUUCCACAGCUUCUCAGUUUACUUGUUUGUGCAUCAGUUUAAUACUGCUAUGACAGAAGGAUAUUAUGUGAGUUAAGGAAUUCAUUAACAGAUCUCUUCAAGCUCAUCAGUGCAAUUCAUUGCAGGAAUUACAAAGCAUUACUUCUGAAGAUGAAAAAUGUUGUGCCUUGCUGCAUCUCCUGCCUCCUUCCCAGUUUUACUCUCUUUGUGCUGUAACACUCUCGGCAGAGUACACAAGGGUUGGCCUCUGUCAGACCAGGUUCUGAUGGUGUGGCUUUCCCUGACCCCCAGGCAUCCAGGAGAGACCACCAAGCUUGUUAUACUUACAUCUAUUUCAAAACUAAACUCUGUAUUUUAAGUAAAGGCUUAUAUCUAGCCUGAUUAGUUUUGGUUUGUUUUGGUUUUCCUUUGGGCAUGCCUUGAUUCCUUGAAUGCUCUGCAGCAUCCAUUGCUGGAAAACUUUGAGAUUUUGCUUCCUGACGUACGCAGACUUUUCUCCAAGACAUCUUUUCAUGGAAAUUCAUUUUGCUGCUGCCAUGAUGACUUUACAAUCUGUGCCAGUUUUGUCUUUUGGAUUUGAUUCUGUGAAGUCUUGCAAAGCCUCCACCUACUGUCAUAAGUGGCCAGAAUUAGAAUUACUCUGCAUGUCAGGCAUUAGUACUACAGGUACUCAAUCUAAGAAAAUAUUUGGAGAAUUAAAUGGAGAAUGAAUCAUAAUAAGGAGUAAGGGAAGCUGGUGCCAGAUAAAUGCAGACAGAAUUAUGACUGCUAGACAGCCGUGUUUCCAGCUUCUAAAUUUUAUCUCGACUGUGGUGAUAAAGACAGACUAUCAUUAUGUGUGCCAGAUUUUAUGCAUGUCUUUCUUUAAAGCAUAAGUUUGUGCUGGAAGGAUCCUGGAGGUUCCUGAUGCUUAAUCUUAGAAAUACUAGAUCAACGGAAAUAAAGCACUCCGGAAACAAAACACAAAUUAUAUUUCCAAAACAUUUUUUUUUUGUAAUUUGAUCCUCCCAUGUAAACAAGAGACAAUAAAACCUUCUGGGAGUCUUGUUAGCCAACAAUCUCCAAACUGCAAUGAAAGAAGGAUUUCAAAACUAUUUCACAAUUGUGUUUGGAUGAAACAUGUGUUUACUGUAUGUAAAUGAACAAGACAUUCUGUUCUUUUAGGAUUCGUCAGAUCCUUACUGUCUUAGCUGGUUUGGCUUGUGCAGGAAAGUGGGUCUUCUUCAGAAGGUGCUGGAGAAA
This 9326-nucleotide long non-coding RNA is filed under the name Taeniopygia guttata (zebra finch). RNAcentral describes it as "lncRNA (ENSTGUG00000019758.1)". Lineage: Eukaryota; Metazoa; Chordata; Aves; Passeriformes; Estrildidae. The record is from RNAcentral.